UGAAACAGCACACAUUUACAGCUGAAGACUCUGUUAUAUACAGCUCUGUGGCUGUUUCAAAGCCAAAGUCUUCAGCAUCAACAGAUAAUGAGCAGGACGUGAACUACAGCUUUGUAAAAAUCGCUUCCAAGAAUAAAACUAAGUCUCCAAAAGAUGUUGGUGAUGAGACAAUCUACAGCAGCGUGGUUUGCUAGUAAUAGAUGUGUGAUUAAAAAAAAAAAUUUCUGUGUCUCUUACU
This is a long non-coding RNA of Ictalurus punctatus (channel catfish), 238 nucleotides long. RefSeq lists it as uncharacterized. The transcript has 3 exons. The record is from RefSeq and is a predicted model, not a curated record. NCBI's taxonomy places the organism in Eukaryota, Metazoa, Chordata, Actinopteri, Siluriformes, Ictaluridae.